GACGAACGCUGGCGGCGUGCUUAACACAUGCAAGUCGAACGGUAAGGCCCUUCGGGGUACACGAGUGGCGAACGGGUGAGUAACACGUGGGGGAUCUGCCCUGCACUUCGGGAUAAGCCUGGGAAACUGGGUCUAAUACCGGAUAGGACUCCGGACUGCAUGGUCUGGGGUGGAAAGCUUUUGCGGUGUGGGAUGGGCCCGCGGCCUAUCAGCUUGUUGGUGGGGUGAUGGCCUAGCAAGGCGACGACGGGUAGCCGGCCUGAGCGGGUUACCGGCCACACUGGGACUGAGAUACGGCCCAGACUCCUACGGGAGGCAGCAGCGGGGAAUAUUGCACAAUGGGCGCAAGCCUGAUGCAGCGACGCCGCGUGAGGGAUGACGGCCUUCGGGUUGUAAACCUCUUUCAGCAUCGACGAAGCGAAAGUGACGGUAGGUGCAGAAGAAGGACCGGCCAACUACGUGCCAGCAGCCGCCGUAA
Molecule: ribosomal RNA, 478 nt
Filed under: uncultured bacterium
Lineage: Bacteria
Description: partial 16S ribosomal RNA
Rfam family: Bacterial small subunit ribosomal RNA
Source: RNAcentral